GUGGUUGUAGCUCAGCUGGUAGAGCGCCAGAUUGUGGUUCUGGAUGUCGCGGGUUCGAGCCCCGUCUUCCACC
RNAcentral lists this transfer RNA (73 nucleotides) under Crocinitomicaceae bacterium. RNAcentral's name for it is "tRNA-His". It matches the Rfam family "tRNA". Rfam says of the family: Transfer RNA (tRNA) molecules are approximately 80 nucleotides in length. The record is from RNAcentral. Lineage: Bacteria; Pseudomonadati; Bacteroidota; Flavobacteriia; Flavobacteriales; Crocinitomicaceae.